Schistosoma mansoni is the source of this 45-nucleotide non-coding RNA. Lineage: Eukaryota; Metazoa; Platyhelminthes; Trematoda; Strigeidida; Schistosomatidae. The record is from Rfam.
AUUCAGCUGACGAGUCCCAAAUAGGGCGAAACGCGCGUCCUGGAU